Molecule: ribosomal RNA, 1401 nt
Filed under: Enterococcus hirae
Lineage: Bacteria; Bacillati; Bacillota; Bacilli; Lactobacillales; Enterococcaceae
Description: bacterial SSU rRNA
Rfam family: Bacterial small subunit ribosomal RNA
Source: RNAcentral
UUUGAAUCAUGGCUCAGGACGAACGCUGGCGGCGUGCCUAAUACAUGCAAGUCGAACGCUUCUUUUUCCACCGGAGCUUGCUCCACCGGAAAAAGAGGAGUGGCGAACGGGUGAGUAACACGUGGGUAACCUGCCCAUCAGAAGGGGAUAACACUUGGAAACAGGUGCUAAUACCGUAUAACAAUCGAAACCGCAUGGUUUUGAUUUGAAAGGCGCUUUCGGGUGUCGCUGAUGGAUGGACCCGCGGUGCAUUAGCUAGUUGGUGAGGUAACGGCUCACCAAGGCGACGAUGCAUAGCCGACCUGAGAGGGUGAUCGGCCACAUUGGGACUGAGACACGGCCCAAACUCCUACGGGAGGCAGCAGUAGGGAAUCUUCGGCAAUGGACGAAAGUCUGACCGAGCAACGCCGCGUGAGUGAAGAAGGUUUUCGGAUCGUAAAACUCUGUUGUUAGAGAAGAACAAGGAUGAGAGUAACUGUUCAUCCCUUGACGGUAUCUAACCAGAAAGCCACGGCUAACUACGUGCCAGCAGCCGCGGUAAUACGUAGGUGGCAAGCGUUGUCCGGAUUUAUUGGGCGUAAAGCGAGCGCAGGCGGUUUCUUAAGUCUGAUGUGAAAGCCCCCGGCUCAACCGGGGAGGGUCAUUGGAAACUGGGAGACUUGAGUGCAGAAGAGGAGAGUGGAAUUCCAUGUGUAGCGGUGAAAUGCGUAGAUAUAUGGAGGAACACCAGUGGCGAAGGCGGCUCUCUGGUCUGUAACUGACGCUGAGGCUCGAAAGCGUGGGGAGCAAACAGGAUUAGAUACCCUGGUAGUCCACGCCGUAAACGAUGAGUGCUAAGUGUUGGAGGGUUUCCGCCCUUCAGUGCUGCAGCUAACGCAUUAAGCACUCCGCCUGGGGAGUACGACCGCAAGGUUGAAACUCAAAGGAAUUGACGGGGGCCCGCACAAGCGGUGGAGCAUGUGGUUUAAUUCGAAGCAACGCGAAGAACCUUACCAGGUCUUGACAUCCUUUGACCACUCUAGAGAUAGAGCUUCCCCUUCGGGGGCAAAGUGACAGGUGGUGCAUGGUUGUCGUCAGCUCGUGUCGUGAGAUGUUGGGUUAAGUCCCGCAACGAGCGCAACCCUUAUUGUUAGUUGCCAUCAUUUAGUUGGGCACUCUAGCAAGACUGCCGGUGACAAACCGGAGGAAGGUGGGGAUGACGUCAAAUCAUCAUGCCCCUUAUGACCUGGGCUACACACGUGCUACAAUGGGAAGUACAACGAGUCGCAAAGUCGCGAGGCUAAGCUAAUCUCUUAAAGCUUCUCUCAGUUCGGAUUGUAGGCUGCAACUCGCCUACAUGAAGCCGGAAUCGCUAGUAAUCGCGGAUCAGCACGCCGCGGUUGAAUACGUUCCCGGGGCCUU